Molecule: ribosomal RNA, 253 nt
Filed under: uncultured bacterium
Lineage: Bacteria
Description: partial 16S ribosomal RNA
Rfam family: Bacterial small subunit ribosomal RNA
Source: RNAcentral
UACAGAGGUCUCAAGCGUUGUUCGGAUUCAUUGGGCGUAAAGGGUGCGUAGGCGGCGCGGUAAGUCGGGUGUGAAAUCUCGGAGCUUAACUCCGAAACUGCAUCCGAAACUGCCCGACUAGAGGUAGGUAGGGGAGAUCGGAAUUCCUGGUGUAGCGGUGAAAUGCGCAGAUAUCAGGAGGAACACCGGUGGCGAAGGCGGAUCUCUGGGCCUUACCUGACGCUGAGGCGCGAAAGCUAGGGGAGCAAACAGG